AUGCAAGGCCAUCUAGCCCAGAACCACAUGCACUGGUCAUUCUUCAUCUCUUUACUAAAAAAAACUAUGCAUAUUGUACAGGGUGCCAGAGCUUGCCGCCGACAUGCAUGGUGCCCACAGCGGAGCAUUACUUCCGCGGCGGCCGUGGUGUACUGCCGGGCAGAUGCUGCGGGGCUCUGCCUGCCGUGCGACGGCCACAUCCAUGGCGAAAACAUGGUCUCCGGCUGCCGAAGCCACGCCUCCCCGGACCCCGGCGUCCCCGCUCAGGGUCGCCUACCGCAUCGUCGUGACCUCCUUUCGGAGGGGCACCGCUUGGUGUCUCUGGUCGAACUGCGACUACGAAGAGCAGCAGCAUUGGAGGCUGUUGCAGCCGCCGUGAAACGGUGGAGGGGUACACCGGGUGCCUCUCGGCAGGAGAGCUCACGGCGAUCCUCGGCGUAG
RNAcentral lists this ribosomal RNA (441 nucleotides) under Triticum aestivum (bread wheat). RNAcentral describes it as "partial small subunit ribosomal RNA". Lineage: Eukaryota; Viridiplantae; Streptophyta; Magnoliopsida; Poales; Poaceae. The record is from RNAcentral.